ACGCACGCUGGCGGCGUGCUUAACCCAUGCAAGUCGAGCGGAAAGGCCCUUUCGGGGGUACUCGAGCGGCGAACGGGUGAGUAACACGUGAGUAAUCUGCCCUUCACUUGGGGAUAACCUCCGGAAACGGUGGCUAAUACCCGAUACGACCAUUCCUCGCAUGAGGUGGUGGUGGAAAGUUUUUCGGUGGGGGAUGUGCUCGCGGCCUAUCAGCUUGUUGGUGGGGUAAUGGCCUACCAAGGCUUCGACGGGUAGCCGGCCUGAGAGGGUGACCGGCCACACUGGGACUGAGACACGGCCCAGACUCCUACGGGAGGCAGCAGUGGGGAAUAUUGGACAAUGGGCGGAAGCCUGAUCCAGCAACGCCGCGUGAGGGAUGACGGCCUUCGGGUUGUAAACCUCUUUCACCUGUGACGAAGCGAAAGUGACGGUAGCAGGAGAAGAAGCACCGGCCAACUACGUG
Molecule: ribosomal RNA, 463 nt
Filed under: uncultured bacterium
Lineage: Bacteria
Description: partial 16S ribosomal RNA
Rfam family: Bacterial small subunit ribosomal RNA
Source: RNAcentral